Molecule: ribosomal RNA, 425 nt
Filed under: uncultured bacterium
Lineage: Bacteria
Description: partial 16S ribosomal RNA
Rfam family: Bacterial small subunit ribosomal RNA
Source: RNAcentral
GUGGGGAAUCUUAGACAAUGGGCGCAAGCCUGAUCUAGCCAUGCCGCGUGAGCGAUGAAGGCCUUAGGGUUGUAAAGCUCUUUCGCUGGGGAAGAUAAUGACUGUACCCAGUAAAGAAGCCCCGGCUAACUCCGUGCCAGCAGCCGCGGUAAUACGGAGGGGGCUAGCGUUGUUCGGAAUUACUGGGCGUAAAGCGCGCGUAGGCGGAUUGGAAAGUUGGGGGUGAAAUCCCGGGGCUCAACCUCGGAACUGCCUUCAAAACUCCCAGUCUUGAGUUCGAGAGAGGUGAGUGGAAUUCCGAGUGUAGAGGUGAAAUUCGUAGAUAUUCGGAGGAACACCAGUGGCGAAGGCGGCUCACUGGCUCGAUACUGACGCUGAGGUGCGAAAGCGUGGGGAGCAAACAGGAUUAGAUACCCCGGUAGUCC